CAGUCUGCAUGGAGCCGACCUUGAAAUACCACCCUUUAAUGUUUGAUGUUCUAACGUGGACCCGUAAUCCGGGUUGCGGACAGUGUCUGGUGGGUAGUUUGACUGGGGCGGUCUCCUCCUAAAGAGUAACGGAGGAGCACGAAGGUUGGCUAAUCCUGGUCGGACAUCAGGAGGUUAGUGCAAUGGCAUAAGCCAGCUUGACUGCGAGCGUGACGGCGCGAGCAGGUGCGAAAGCAGGUCAUAGUGAUCCGGUGGUUCUGAAUGGAAGGGCCAUCGCUCAACGGAUAAAAGGUACUCCGGGGAUAACAGGCUGAUACCGCCCAAGAGUUCAUAUCGACGGCGGUGUUUGGCACCUCGAUGUCGGCUCAUCACAUCCUGGGGCUGAAGUAGGUCCCAAGGGUAUGGCUGUUCGCCAUUUAAAGUGGUACGCGAGCUGGGUUUAGAACGUCGUGAGACAGUUCGGUCCCUAUCUGCCGUGGGCGCUGGAGAACUGAGGGGGGCUGCUCCUAGUACGAGAGGACCGGAGUGGACGCAUCACUGGUGUUCGGGUUGUCAUGCCAAUGGCACUGCCCGGUAGCUAAAUGCGGAAGAGAUAAGUGCUGAAAGCAUCUAAGCACGAAACUUGCCCCGAGAUGAGUUCUCCCUGAGACUUAGAGUCUCCUGAAGGAACGUUGAAGACGACGACGUUGAUAGGCCGGGUGUGUAAGCGCAGCGAUGCGUUGAGCUAACCGGUACUAAUGAACCGUGAGGCUUAACCUU
This 759-nucleotide ribosomal RNA is filed under the name Salmonella enterica subsp. enterica serovar Thompson. RNAcentral's name for it is "partial 23S ribosomal RNA". It matches the Rfam family "Bacterial large subunit ribosomal RNA", at positions 2172 to 2925 of the family's 2925-position model. Lineage: Bacteria; Pseudomonadati; Pseudomonadota; Gammaproteobacteria; Enterobacterales; Enterobacteriaceae. RNAcentral also lists the same sequence under 1 other name. The record is from RNAcentral.